AGCCGAUUAAUGGUGAAGCCGCGAAUGGCUCAUUACAACAGCCAUAGUUUCUUAGAUCUUACUUUUCUACUUGGAUAACUGUGGUAAUUCUAGAGCUAAUACACGCAAACAAGCUCAGACCUUACGGAAUGAGCGCAUUUAUUAGAACAAAAACCAAUCGGACUUUCGGGUCCGUCAUUUGGUGAAUCUGAAUAACUUUGCUGAUCGCACGGUCAUCGUACCGGCGACAUAUCUUUCAAAUGUCUGCCUUAUCAACUUUCGAUGGUAGUUUAUGCGCCUACCAUGGUUGUAACGGGUAACGGAGAAUAAGGGUUCGACUCCGGAGAGGGAGCCUGAGAAACGGCUACCACAUCCAAGGAAGGCAGCAGGCACGCAAAUUACCCACUCCCGGCACGGGGAGGUAGUGACGAAAAAUAACGAGACGGCUCGCUAUGCGGUCCGUCAUCGGAAUGGGUACAAUUUAAAUCCUUUAACGAGGAUCUAUU
This 485-nucleotide ribosomal RNA is filed under the name uncultured eukaryote. RNAcentral's name for it is "SSU rRNA". It matches the Rfam family "Eukaryotic small subunit ribosomal RNA", at positions 68 to 549 of the family's 1831-position model. The record is from RNAcentral.